UUUCCAUAGGUGAACCUGCGGAAGGAUCAUUCAUAAUAAAGUGUUUUAUGGCACUUUUAAAAAUCCAUAUCCACCUUGUGUGCAAUGUUUGAUCUCGUCAAUCUUGGCGAGAUUUUUAUACAUCAACUCAUUCUUUAACUAAUUUGUCUGAAAAAUAUUAUGAAUACUUAAUUCAAAAUACAACUUUCAACAACGGAUCUCUUGGCUCUC
Molecule: unclassified non-coding RNA, 210 nt
Filed under: plant metagenome
Description: partial contains small subunit ribosomal RNA, internal transcribed spacer 1, and 5.8S ribosomal RNA
Source: RNAcentral